GGUCGCGUAGCUCAGUUGGUUAGAGCGUUGUGCUAAUAACGCAACGGUCGUGGGUUCGAUCCCCACCGUGACCA
Molecule: non-coding RNA, 74 nt
Organism: Nymphaea colorata (pocket water lily)
Lineage: Eukaryota; Viridiplantae; Streptophyta; Magnoliopsida; Nymphaeales; Nymphaeaceae
Source: the annotation of a RefSeq genome assembly